UACGUAGGUGGCAAGCGUUGUUCGGAAUUACUGGGCGUAAAGCGUGCGCAGGCGGUUAUGUAAGACAGAUGUGAAAUGCCCGGGCUUAACCUGGGAACUGCAUUUGUGACUGCAUGGCUAGAGUUUGGCAGAGGGGGGUAGAAUUCCACGUGUAGCAGUGAAAUGCGUAGAUAUGUGGAGGAACACCGAUGGCGAAGGCAGCCCCCUGGGUCAAGACUGACGCUCAUGCACGAAAGCGUGGGGAGCAAACAGGG
RNAcentral lists this ribosomal RNA (254 nucleotides) under uncultured bacterium. Its description in RNAcentral is "partial 16S ribosomal RNA". It matches the Rfam family "Bacterial small subunit ribosomal RNA", at positions 524 to 777 of the family's 1533-position model. The record is from RNAcentral.